RNAcentral lists this ribosomal RNA (253 nucleotides) under uncultured bacterium. RNAcentral's name for it is "partial 16S ribosomal RNA". It matches the Rfam family "Bacterial small subunit ribosomal RNA", at positions 524 to 776 of the family's 1533-position model. The record is from RNAcentral.
UACAGAGGGUGCAAGCGUUAAUCGGAAUUACUGGGCGUAAAGGGUGCGUAGGUGGCUCUAUAAGUAUGGUGUGAAAUCUCCCGGCUUAACUGGGAGGGUGCGCCGUAGACUGUGGGGCUAGAGUGUGGGAGAGGAAAGUGGAAUUCCUGGUGUAGCGGUGAAAUGCGUAGAUAUCAGGAAGAACACCCGUGGCGAAGGCGGCUCUCUGGGACGGUACUGACGCUGAGACGCGAAAGCGUGGGGAGCGAACAGG